Molecule: ribosomal RNA, 253 nt
Filed under: uncultured bacterium
Lineage: Bacteria
Description: partial 16S ribosomal RNA
Rfam family: Bacterial small subunit ribosomal RNA
Source: RNAcentral
GACAGAGGUGCCGAGCGUUAGGCGGAAUCACUGGGCUUAAAGCGUGUGUAGGCGGAUCGUUAAGUGUCUUGUGAAAUCCCACGGCUCACCCGUGGAACUGCUGGGCAUACUGGCGAUCUUGGGCCAACUAGGGGCAGCCGGAACAAGCGGUGGAGCGGUGAAAUGCGUAGAUAUCGCUUGGAACGCCGAAGGUGAAAACAGGCUGCUGGGGUUGUGCCGACGCUGAGACACGAAAGCCAGGGGAGCAAACGGG